UACGGGAGGCAGCAGUGGGGAAUAUUGGACAAUGGGCGCAAGCCUGAUCCAGCAAUACCGCGUGUGUGAAGAAGGCCUGCGGGUUGUAAAGCACUUUCAAUUGGGAAGAAAAGCCUGAGGAUAAUACCCUUGGGUCUUGACGUUACCUUUAGAAGAAGCACCGGCUAACUCCGUGCCAGCAGCCGCGGUAAUACGGAGGGUGCGAGCGUUAAUCGGAAUUACUGGGCGUAAAGCGCGCGUAGGCGGCUUGUUAAGUCAGAUGUGAAAGCCCUGGGCUCAACCUGGGAACUGCAUUUGAUACUGGCAGGCUAGAGUAUGGUAGAGGGAAGUGGAAUUCCGGGUGUAGCGGUGAAAUGCGUAGAUAUCCGGAGGAACAUCAGUGGCGAAGGCGACUUCCUGGACCAAUACUGACGCUGAGGUGCGAAAGCGUGGGUAGCAAACAGGAUUAGAUACCCUGGUAGUCCACGCCGUAAACGAUGUCAACUAGCCGUUGGGCUCAUUAUAAGGGCUUAGUGGCGCAGCUAACGCGAUAAGU
Molecule: ribosomal RNA, 535 nt
Filed under: uncultured bacterium
Lineage: Bacteria
Description: bacterial SSU rRNA
Rfam family: Bacterial small subunit ribosomal RNA
Source: RNAcentral